UCCCUGGUGGCUCAGAUGCCAAAGAACCUGCUUGCAAAGCAGGAGAUCCAGGUUCUAUGCCUGGGUUGGGAA
This 72-nucleotide transfer RNA is filed under the name Bos taurus (domestic cattle). It matches the Rfam family "tRNA". Rfam says of the family: Transfer RNA (tRNA) molecules are approximately 80 nucleotides in length. RNAcentral also lists the same sequence under 1 other name. Lineage: Eukaryota; Metazoa; Chordata; Mammalia; Artiodactyla; Bovidae. The record is from Rfam by way of RNAcentral.